Molecule: long non-coding RNA, 2853 nt
Filed under: Homo sapiens (human)
Lineage: Eukaryota; Metazoa; Chordata; Mammalia; Primates; Hominidae
Description: non-protein coding lnc-UBE2D4-2:2
Source: RNAcentral
AGCCCUGUGAAUGCUCAGCCUUGUGAAUGCUCAUCCCGCCGCUGUUCGCUCUCCCGCGGUUGCUGCUUGCAUAGGGUUUCAGAUCCGGAAAUUUGAGGAUGCGAAACGUGAGAUUUUCUCUUCGACAACCUCACGCUAGUACGGGUGAUGGGUGUGCGGCCCACCGGAGCCCGCCCUGCCCAACCUGCACCCUCGGGGCUCGAAGAGGAGCCAAGCGUUUCCCCAGGUCCUAGUUAUGCCUCCAAAUAAUAUUCGUAGAAAAACAAAACAGAAAAACCCUCCAGACUUUUAUCCACAAAUAAAGAAGAAACAUAUUUUGGUUAAAACGUCACCCAAUUCUUCAAGGAUGACUUACGCAGUUAUGCAAGAAUGGGUUUGCCACAUGUGACCACAGUGGUGACUGGCCCCUGAGGAAGGAAAAUUUUAAGUACGGGGAAGGGGCCGGAGGGCAAGGAGAUUCGUGAGAAUAUCGCAGGGCCUGUAAUGCUGAAACCAGUGCGUCGCCACUAUUAUUGGUAUCCAGUAAUUAUUAAUGUCAAACGGAAAAAUAGCAACGCGGGAUAUUUUAUUUUAGAAGUCACCACGGUCAUGGAAAAAACACGGGCUCUGGAGUCAGACCCAUGUAUAACAAUCUUUGUACAGUUAAGACUCAGUUCUAUUAUCUAUAAAAUGGGCCUUAAUAAUAGUACUACCUUAUAGAGCUAUUAGGAUCAAGAGAAUAUUUAAUCAAUGAUGGGUUGUGUUUGGUUGAGUGAUGUGAAAUUGCCAAUGUUUUGGCCGUUCUGGGUCUACAUCAUUCCCCUUAAUGGUACAGUACUUGCAUACUGCUGCGGUUUCCUGUCAGGGGGAGGACUGGAUUAUGAUCCAUGGGAAGGGGAAAUGGAAGAACGGUGGAAAUGAGUUGCCCAUGACCACACUGAGAAGAGGGAAAGAGGGACCAAGACACAAGUCUCUUGACUUCAGUCCAGCCCAUUUCCCAUGACCAAGAUUCCUCUGAUUACAUGAAGGUGGGUUCUCAAAAAACCCGUAAUAAAAGGACAAGGUCUUCCAUGUCCACUUCACCAGAAAUGUUUUAUUCUUACUUUUUAGGAACUGCGGCCCCCAACUGUUAUGCAUAUUGAAUAAAGGGACAGAACAGGGAUGAGGUGCCCUCCAAUGCAUACUUUGCAAAUGUAAGAACUUUCAACAUUUCCUAAGAAAUCCUUUUCAACUGACAAUUAUUUUUUAAAGUUUUCAUAAUGUUCAAUAAUUUUAUAAUUGUUAAGUUUCAUUAAUUUGCUCCAAGGUGGUGAGGAACAUGGGAUGUGGCAUCUGAAUUGCCUGAGUCCAAAUCGUGGACCCAAUGCUUCCUGGCUGUGUAAUUUGGACAAGUGACUGAACCUUCUGAGCCUCGGUUUCUCUCAUCUGUAAACUGGGGACAAUAAUGGUGGUUGUGAGAAGUACAGUAUGAUGUGCCUGGCAGAGGGAGAGAGCAGUUGUGGGUUUUGUUGUUGUUUUUAACGAGUCCCUGAUAGCCACAUAUCCCGUUAGGGAGAUGAGCCAGCUAUUGAGGGUUCUGUGAGAACUCAUAGCAACACCACCCUAAUCAGAGGAAAGGGGAAGGAGAAAGGGAAACAAGAUCCUUGGGCUGAUCAGAGGCAGAGGUGGCAAUGGCACAACACCUAUUGGGGCCCAAGGUGGGCAGGGGCCACACCACGAAGGCUGUGGUUGGGAAUCAAGUUUAGCCCAUAAAGCAGUAGGCAAUCAAAUGAUCAAAUUUAUGCUUUCCUCUAUUCAAGCCAUUCUCCCUUAUGCCUGAGAUCUCUCUCUGGAAUUCCAAACCGAUCUAGAUCUUUCCAAGCAUCACAAUGGCCAUUUCAGUGGCAGACAUUUCUGGGGUUCAAAUAUCUUGUUAUCUAUCCUUUAUUAGCUUUGUUUAUACUGUGAUUGGGGGAAAGGGGACGUGUCGGUCUUUACAUGAUUAAAAUUACUUAAAAUGACUUUUAUACAUCAGUAUGAAUGUUAUAUUGUUUUAAAUAAUCAGCAGAAAAAUCUGACUGGGGAUGUUUUAUUUUUCUGUAACUUCCAUUUGUUGUUGUUUUGAUGCACUUUCCUUCUCCUAUUAAUUCCAUAAAGGAGGCAGUAUUUCCAGGCUUCACAGAGCAGAAGAUGGAGGCUCACAGACUCACCUGAGGUUACAGAAGUAGUAAAUGGUAGCAGGCCUUUUUGCUCCAAAGCAUGUGCUCUUUCAGUAUCACUUCCUGGGGGUGAGGGUUCAGACCAUGUUAGGAUCAGGGAAUGGCCUGGGUUUCUGUGGCUUGCUGCAGACAGCUCCCAAGUGGCCCUCAAGGACUGCCUGGACAUGGAAAGGCCAGGAGCAUAUGACCCCAUGUGAAAGACCCAUCUGCACCCUUCCUGGAGCCUAAUGCAGAGACAGGGAUGUAAAACUGCUUUUUCUCUGACAUGAGCCUUUGUUCUGUACAUAAUAACCAAGAACCAGAAGUUGCUCCUAUGCUCUCAAAGCAGUGAUUUGCAAUUGCAUGACAGAGCCCCCUGGGUUCCACACCACCUCUGUGGGGAGAGGGCAGGCACUCACACUUUUAAAAUGCCCCUUAGAUGAUUUCAAUUUGCAGUCGGGGCUGAGAACCAGUGUCCUGAACUCACUCAGUUUAUUUGGGAGACUCCCAAAAUGUGUAUUUGCAGAGCCCCCUUUCGGGGAGAGUGCUGUUGGAUGCCCCUGGAAGAUUAUGGCAGCUCUCUAAGGAACAUAGCCAUAGUCCACGCCCACCACUCUUGGUCACAAGGGCAGAAGAAGGGAGGAGGGGUCUGCUGGGAGGUCAGGACUUCUUUGAGAUGAUCUGUCCAGUUGGGUGC